Non-coding RNA from Mycena albidolilacea, 90 nucleotides. NCBI's taxonomy places the organism in Eukaryota, Fungi, Basidiomycota, Agaricomycetes, Agaricales, Mycenaceae. The record is from the annotation of a GenBank genome assembly.
CCGACUUUAGCUCAGUUGGAAGAGCAUCAGACUGUAAUGGCUUACAUAAUCAUAAUCUGGGUGUCGCCUGUUCGAACCAGGCAAGUCGGA